AGUGAACGCUGGCGGUAGGCCUAACACAUGCAAGUCGAACGGCAGCACAGAGGAGCUUGCUCCUUGGGUGGCGAGUGGCGGACGGGUGAGGAAUACAUCGGAAUCUACUCUGUCGUGGGGGAUAACGUAGGGAAACUUACGCUAAUACCGCAUACGACCUACGGGUGAAAGCAGGGGAUCUUCGGACCUUGCGCGAUUGAAUGAGCCGAUGUCGGAUUAGCUAGUUGGCGGGGUAAAGGCCCACCAAGGCGACGAUCCGUAGCUGGUCUGAGGGGAUGAUCAGCCCCACGGUAACUGAGACACGGUCCAGACUCCUACGGGAGGCAGCAGUGGGGAAUCUUGGACAAUGGGCGCAAGCCUGAUCCAGCCAUACCGCGUGGGUGAAGAAGGCCUUCGGGUUGUAAAGCCCUUUUGUUGGGAAAGAAAUCCAUCUGGUUAAUACCCGGGUGGGAUGACGGUACCCAAAGAAUAAGCACCGGCUAACUUCGUGCCAGCCGCCGCCGUAA
RNAcentral lists this ribosomal RNA (506 nucleotides) under uncultured bacterium. Its description in RNAcentral is "partial 16S ribosomal RNA". It matches the Rfam family "Bacterial small subunit ribosomal RNA", at positions 29 to 523 of the family's 1533-position model. The record is from RNAcentral.